RNAcentral lists this ribosomal RNA (485 nucleotides) under Acidobacteria bacterium KF4-12/2. Its description in RNAcentral is "bacterial SSU rRNA". It matches the Rfam family "Bacterial small subunit ribosomal RNA", at positions 32 to 497 of the family's 1533-position model. The record is from RNAcentral. Lineage: Bacteria; Pseudomonadati; Acidobacteriota.
AACGCUGGCGGCGUGCCUAACACAUGCAAGUCGAACGCGAGAGGGGCUUCGGCCCUGAUUGAGUGGCAAACGGGUGAGUAACGCGUGGGUGACCUACCUUCGAGUGGGGGAUAACGUUUCGAAAGGAACGCUAAUACCGCAUGACAUCCUGCCUUUGGACAGGCGGAGAUCAAAGCCGGGGAUCGCAAGACCUGGCGCUUGGAGAGGGGCCCGCGUCCGAUUAGCUAGUUGGUGGGGUAACGGCUCACCAAGGCUUCGAUCGGUAGCCGGCCUGAGAGGGCGGACGGCCACACUGGGACUGAGACACGGCCCAGACUCCUACGGGAGGCAGCAGUGGGGAAUUGUUCGCAAUGGGCGCAAGCCUGACGACGCAACGCCGCGUGGAGGAUGAAGGUCUUCGGAUUGUAAACUCCUGUUGAUCGGGACGAACAUCCCUUGGGAUAACACCCUGAGGGACUGACGGUACCGGUUGAGGAAGCCCCGGC